Long non-coding RNA from Drosophila montana, 1622 nucleotides. RefSeq lists it as uncharacterized. NCBI's taxonomy places the organism in Eukaryota, Metazoa, Arthropoda, Insecta, Diptera, Drosophilidae. The record is from RefSeq and is a predicted model, not a curated record. The transcript has 4 exons.
AAUGAAGGGUCAAGUACAAUUUGAAAAGAACUUGCUAAUCCGACUUGUUUUUUCAAAUUUUUUAUUUAACUGUUAUGAAAUAAUUACCAAUACAACUUAUUUAUAGAUAUGUAAGUCCAACAAAAGAGAGAUAAACAUAAAUGGAAGACGCCGAUGAUUUUCGCAAGGCGGCAAUUGGCAGCGAACCCGUACUCCUGGCUUCCAAGAACGAAUUUUCGGGACAGGCAUGCACACACACUUAGACAGUGUUCAUUUUAGGUUUGCAAGAAGGACAUGUCAUCCUACAUCUAGAGAAAGUAAAAUAUCAAAGCACAAUCCGAGAUUUCGAUGAAGACAACAAAUCAAUCUAUCGGAUCUUCGAUGUCCUUUUAUCGUCCUUUUAUGAGCAUUGCAGGAUGGCAAUAAGGGAAUUCUGAUUAGAGAUGGAGAGCGGCAUGUUCCUCACAAGAGGACUUUAUACUGUAGGGCCUUCCGCCUAAACUAUUCCUCUAGCGCAGCAAGCCAGGAUUUAAAAAAAGAGGAAUAAUGUGGUACCUGGUUGAAGCCAAGGAAUGUUGCACCGGAAAUGCAUGAAGUAUUCGCUUGGCAACCAUACUGGACGUUGGAGACGAUUGGCAGUAGGCUAAUCGGCCUGAAAGACUCAGCCUUAUCGAUCAGCUGUCAGGCUUGUUUGAGCAUAGAUUUUGAGUCUAUGUCACUUUUUCGUAAUUAAUCCCACAUCGAAUACUGCAAGCGACGUUUAAAAACAGGCAUUAUGUGGGGAAAGCUUAAGUUCAUAUAGAAAGCCUUCGCACCAGACCCAAUCAAAGCAAUGUUGCACCGGAAAUGCAUGAAGUAUGUGAUUGACAACCACAUUGAAAGUUGACCGGAAAGAUUCACCUGCCGUCUCAUGGAUAUUUAACUACAUCGAAUACUUGAGGAAACUUCAGAGAAACAUUGAAAAAACUUAAAAGGCUAUCAAGACAUUUUCUGUGCCUCAACCAGGGUCGAACACGCCAAAAACAGUCCCAUCUAAGACUACUCCGCAUUCUAAUCAAUAAAAUAAUUUUCGCAGCCCCAAGACUUAGUUAAGAAAUGCCAUUAAGUCCGUACUUAACGAAAACAACACCUCUCCUUGAGCAUCCAAAUUAUCAACUAUCUAUAAAAAAGUUUUAUUCUAUAUGUAUAUAAUACCAACUAGACAUAGAACUAGAAAACAGAAAGAGGUUUUCAUCAAAUAACUGAUUAUGAACGAGCGUCGAAUCACAAUCCGAGAAGUCGUUGAAGUUUACAAACCAAAUGGUUCAUGCCGUCCAUUACAACUUGAUGCCUCAAGUUCCUGGGUAUCUCGGGUGACAGAAGACCAUCUAUUCUGGACUAUGAUCGAAGAUACCAAAAGGUUAAGAACCUUACAUUUCCAAAGAUUUAUGGUUUCUUUUACUAGAAUCUUUAAUUUCAAAGGCCACUGAAACAAGAAUAAAUAUUGCGAAAAUCCAUUUAACAAUUACUUCAAAUUGAUAAAGCCUGAGGACUCAAACAGGCUUGGCGAAACAUCACCUAAGCCAACUGUGGUUUAAUAAAAAAUGUAUGCUAUUUUUGAUCCAAUACAAUAAACAAAACAUAAAAAAAAAAAUAUUUUAAUA